Molecule: long non-coding RNA, 310 nt
Organism: Talpa occidentalis (Iberian mole)
Lineage: Eukaryota; Metazoa; Chordata; Mammalia; Eulipotyphla; Talpidae
Exons: 3
Source: RefSeq, a predicted model, not a curated record
CUGACACUGCCCCCUCCGCGGCUAUGAAAUGAAAUAUUUAUUGGAAGCUACAUGCUGCCUGGAGGCCACAAUUUUCAGGACAAACGGAAAAUGAAUCACAUCCUAAAGAAAACCAUUGGUGAAACUAUGCCAAGAAUGCCAUCUGCACUGGGAUCAGGUCUUGUCCAUCACCCUCCUUCAGCUACUAUUGCAAGAUGCGAUUGGACUGAUUUCCUAAUGAACACUGGAACCUGAGGUCAUAAGCUGCACAAGACCACAAGGAAAGGGUGAGAACUAUGUGCCUGUGGAAUGAGGAAGGAAGAUGGCAGCU